This 377-nucleotide ribosomal RNA is filed under the name uncultured cyanobacterium. RNAcentral describes it as "bacterial SSU rRNA". It matches the Rfam family "Bacterial small subunit ribosomal RNA", at positions 378 to 770 of the family's 1533-position model. Lineage: Bacteria; Bacillati; Cyanobacteriota. The record is from RNAcentral.
GAACCCUGACGGAGCAACGCCGCGUGCGGGAGGACGGCCUGUGGGUUGUAACCCGCUUUUCUCAGGGAAGAAGUUCUGACGGUACCUGAGGAAUCAGCAUCGGCUAACUCCGUGCCAGCAGCCGCGGUAAUACGGAGGAUGCAAGCGUUAUCCGGAAUUAUUGGGCGUAAAGCGUCCGUAGGCGGUGAGUUAAGUCUGCUGUCAAAGCCUGCAGCUCAACUGUGGAGUGGCAGUGGAAACUGAUUGACUAGAGUGCGAUAGGGGUAGAGGGAAUUCCCAGUGUAGCGGUGAAAUGCGUAGAUAUUGGGAAGAACACCAGUGGCGAAGGCGCUCUACUGGGUCGCAACUGACGCUGAGGGACGAAAGCUAGGGGAGCG